This 464-nucleotide ribosomal RNA is filed under the name Vreelandella stevensii. RNAcentral's name for it is "partial 16S ribosomal RNA". It matches the Rfam family "Bacterial small subunit ribosomal RNA", at positions 338 to 795 of the family's 1533-position model. Lineage: Bacteria; Pseudomonadati; Pseudomonadota; Gammaproteobacteria; Oceanospirillales; Halomonadaceae. The record is from RNAcentral.
CCUACGGGUGCUGCAGUGGGGAAUAUUGGACAAUGGGCGAAAGCCUGAUCCAGCCAUGCCGCGUGUGUGAAGAAGGCCUUCGGGUUGUAAAGCACUUUCAGUGGGGAAGAAAGCCUUGGGGCUAAUACCCUCGAGGAAGGACAUCACCCACAGAAGAAGCACCGGCUAACUCCGUGCCAGCAGCCGCGGUAAUACGGAGGGUGCGAGCGUUAAUCGGAAUUACUGGGCGUAAAGCGCGCGUAGGCGGUCUGAUAAGCCGGUUGUGAAAGCCCCGGGCUCAACCUGGGAACGGCAUCCGGAACUGUCAGGCUAGAGGGCAGGAGAGGAAGGUAGAAUUCCCGGUGUAGCGGUGAAAUGCGUAGAGAUCGGGAGGAAUACCAGUGGCGAAGGCGGCCUUCUGGACUGACACUGACGCUGAGGUGCGAAAGCGUGGGUAGCAAACAGGAUUAGAUACCCGAGUAGUC